Molecule: small nuclear RNA, 96 nt
Filed under: Octodon degus (degu)
Lineage: Eukaryota; Metazoa; Chordata; Mammalia; Rodentia; Octodontidae
Source: RNAcentral
GUGUUCACUUCAGCAGCACGUAUACUAACAUUGGAACGAUACAGAGAGGAUUAGCAUAGCCCCUGCGCAAAAAUUUGUGAAGUGUUCCAUAUUAAA